GACGAACGCUGGCGGCGUGCUUAACACAUGCAAGUCGAACGGAAAGGCCCUGCUUUUGUGGGGUGCUCGAGUGGCGAACGGGUGAGUAACACGUGAGUAACCUGCCCUUGACUUUGGGAUAACUUCAGGAAACUGGGGCUAAUACCGGAUAGGAGCUCCUGCUGCAUGGUGGGGGUUGGAACGUUUCGGCGGUCGGGGAUGGACUCGCGGCUUAUCAGCUUGUUGGUGGGGUAGUGGCUUACCAAGGCUGUGACGGGUAGCCGGCCUGAGAGGGUGACCGGCCACAUUGGGCCUGCGAUACGGCCCAGACUCCUACGGGAGGCAGCAGUGGGGAAUAUUGCACAAUGGGCCGAAGCCUGAUGCAGCAACGCCGCGUUCGGGAUGACGGCCUUCGGGUUGUAAACCGCUUUCGCCUGUGACGAAGCGUGAGUGACGGUAAUGGGUAAAGAAGCACCGGCUAACUACGUG
Molecule: ribosomal RNA, 468 nt
Filed under: uncultured bacterium
Lineage: Bacteria
Description: partial 16S ribosomal RNA
Rfam family: Bacterial small subunit ribosomal RNA
Source: RNAcentral